RNAcentral lists this non-coding RNA (949 nucleotides) under Branchiostegus argentatus (silver horsehead). RNAcentral's name for it is "12S ribosomal RNA". It matches the Rfam family "Bacterial small subunit ribosomal RNA". Lineage: Eukaryota; Metazoa; Chordata; Actinopteri; Malacanthidae. The record is from RNAcentral.
CAAAGGCUUGGUCCUGACUUUACUAACAGCUUUGUCCUAACCUACACAUGCAAGUAUCCGCACCCCGGUGAGAAUGCCCCCACAGUCCCCCGCCCGGGGACAAGGAGCUGGUAUCAGGCACACUAUAACUGAAGCCCACGACACCUUGCUUAGCCACACCUUCAAGGGUAAUCAGCAGUGGUAAAUAUUAAGCCAUAAGUGAAAACUUGACUUAAUUAAGGCCAAGAGGGUCGGUAAAACUCGUGCCAGCCACCGCGGUUAUACGAGAGACCCAAGUUGUUAAAUCACGGCGUAAAGAGUGGUUAAAAUGUAUUAAAAAAUAGAGCCGAACACUUACAAAGUUGUUAUAAGCACACGAAAUUAAGAAGCCCAAUCACGAAAGUGGCUUUAUAUAAUUUGAGCCCACGUAAGCUAGGACACAAACUGGGAUUAGAUACCCCAUUAUGCCUAGCCGUCAACAUCGACAGCAUCUUACACCCGCUGUCCGCCCGGGAACUACGAGCAACAGCUUAAAACCCAAAGGACUUGGCGGUGCUUCAGAUCCCCCUAGAGGAGCCUGUUCUGGAACCGAUAAUCCCCGUUCAACCUCACCCUUUCUUGUUUUUCCCGCCUAUAUACCGCCGUCGCAAGCUCACCCUGUGAAGGAUAAACAGCGAGCCCAACUGGUACUACCCACUAUGUCAGGUCGAGGUGUAGCGUAUGAAAGGGGAAGAAAUGGGCUACAUUCUCUAAUACAGAGCAUACGGAAGGCUACAUUGAAACAUGUACCUGAAGGAGGAUUUAGUAGUAAGCAGGAAGUAGAGUGUCCCGCUGAAACUGGCUCUGGAGCGCGCACACACCGCCCGUCACUCUCCCCGAGCUAUAGAACCCUAUAACUAAUAACCCAUGACUGCAAAGGGGAGGCAAGUCGUAACAUGGUAAGUGUACCGGAAGGUGUACUUGGACUAAC